AGAGUUUGAUCCUGGCUCAGGAUGAACGCUGGCGGCGUGCUUAACACAUGCAAGUCGAACGAACCUUCGGGUUAGUGGCGGACGGGUGAGUAACGCGUGAGAAUCUGCCCUCAGGAGGGGGAUAACGGCUGGAAACGGCCGCUAAUACCCCAUAUGCCGCAAGGUGAAAUGAAAUUCGCCUGAGGAUGAGCUCGCGUCUGAUUAGCUAGUUGGUGGGGUAAGAGCCUACCAAGGCAUCGAUCAGUAGCUGGUCUGAGAGGAUGAUCAGCCACACUGGGACUGAGACACGGCCCAGACUCCUACGGGAGGCAGCAGUGGGGAAUUUUCCGCAAUGGGCGAAAGCCUGACGGAGCAACGCCGCGUGAGGGAUGAAGGCCUCUGGGCUGUAAACCUCUUUUAUCAAGGAAGAAGAUCUGACGGUACUUGAUGAAUAAGCCACGGCUAAUUCCGUGCCAGCAGCCGCGGUAAUACGGGAGUGGCAAGCGUUAUCCGGAAUUAUUGGGCGUAAAGCGUCCGCAGGCGGUUUUGUAAGUCUGUUGUUAAAGCGUGGAGCUCAACUCCAUUUAAGCAAUGGAAACUGCAAGACUAGAGUGUGGUAGGGGCAGAGGGAAUUCCCGGUGUAGCGGUGAAAUGCGUAGAUAUCGGGAAGAACACCAGUGGCGAAGGCGCUCUGCUGGGCCAUAACUGACGCUCAUGGACGAAAGCCAGGGGAGCGAAAGGGAUUAGAUACCCCUGUAGUCCUGGCCGUAAACGAUGAACACUAGGUGUCGGGGGAAUCGACCCCCUCGGUGUCGUAGCCAACGCGUUAAGUGUUCCGCCUGGGGAGUACGCACGCAAGUGUGAAACUCAAAGGAAUUGACGGGGGCCCGCACAAGCGGUGGAGUAUGUGGUUUAAUUCGAUGCAACGCGAAGAACCUUACCAGGGUUUGACAUCCUGCGAAUCUCUUGGAAACGAGAGAGUGCCUUCGGGAACGCAGUGACAGGUGGUGCAUGGCUGUCGUCAGCUCGUGUCGUGAGAUGUUGGGUUAAGUCCCGCAACGAGCGCAACCCACGUCGUUAGUUGCCAGCAUUUAGUUGGGCACUCUAGCGAGACCGCCGGUGAUAAACCGGAGGAAGGUGUGGAUGACGUCAAGUCAUCAUGCCCCUUACAUCCUGGGCUACACACGUACUACAAUGCUACGGACAAAGGGCAGCAAACUCGCGAGAGCUAGCAAAUCCCAUAAACCGUGGCUCAGUUCAGAUCGUAGGCUGCAACUCGCCUACGUGAAGGAGGAAUCGCUAGUAAUCGCAGGUCAGCAUACUGCGGUGAAUACGUUCCCGGGCCUUGUACACACCGCCCGUCACACCAUGGAAGUUGGCCACGCCCGAAGCCGUUACUCCAACCCUUGUGGAGGAGGAUGUCGAAGGUGGGGCUGAUGACUGGGGUGAAGUCGUAACAAGGUAGCCGUACCGGAAGGUGCGGCUGGAUCACCUCCUAA
RNAcentral lists this ribosomal RNA (1478 nucleotides) under Cyanobium sp. Suigetsu-CR1. Its description in RNAcentral is "bacterial SSU rRNA". It matches the Rfam family "Bacterial small subunit ribosomal RNA". The record is from RNAcentral. RNAcentral also lists the same sequence under 1 other name. Lineage: Bacteria; Bacillati; Cyanobacteriota; Cyanophyceae; Synechococcales; Prochlorococcaceae.